RNAcentral lists this long non-coding RNA (581 nucleotides) under Phoenix dactylifera (date palm). RNAcentral's name for it is "long non-coding RNA (PDAC_LNC021307)". Lineage: Eukaryota; Viridiplantae; Streptophyta; Magnoliopsida; Arecales; Arecaceae. The record is from RNAcentral.
CGUUCGUCCUCGAGGGAUUCGGCCCGUCGGCUCGCUCGGAUGGGCCACGCGCAGCGGGCCCACGACGGAGCCGGCACGCUCCUUCUGCUGGCGCGGCGCUCGGUCUAUGCCUCCGGCCGGCCGUUGCGGCGGCCGUGCACGGCGCUUCGGAUCGGUCGGCCGGUCUUCCCGUCCCUCAUGAAGUGUUCGCGGCCGCGCGCGCGCGCGGAGUUGGAUCGGCCUUACUUGGUCCGAUCCUUCGCCCUCGCAUGUUGCGUGGGCUCGGUCCCGUCCCGUUCGGUGAAAUCUUUGUCCGCUCUGGUGCGUCCCUGUGGGUUCCUUUGUCGGUUUUGCGGGUUCGGCCGGGCCUUCCGCGCCGGCCCGUCGGCUCGCUCGGAUGAGGCCCCGCGGAGUUGGCCCACGACGGAGCCGGCACGCUCCUUCCGCUGGUGCGGCUCUCGGUCUACGCCUCCAGCCGGCCCUUGCGGCGGCCGUGCGCGGCGCUUCGGAUCGGUCGGCCCGUCGUCCCGUCCCUGAGAAUCGCGGCCGCGCGCGCGCGGAGUUGGAUCGGCCUUACUUGGUCCGAUCCGUCGCCAUCGCAU